Molecule: small nucleolar RNA, 131 nt
Organism: Malania oleifera
Lineage: Eukaryota; Viridiplantae; Streptophyta; Magnoliopsida; Santalales; Ximeniaceae
Product: small nucleolar RNA snoR111
Exons: 1
Source: RefSeq, a predicted model, not a curated record
AGGAAAAUGAGGAGACGAAUGUUGUAGUGUCUCAUCAUUGGCGAAGAACAGUGAGGCAGAACAAUGAAGGCGAGAUAUCGUUUCAGUCGUCAUUUUCUCGGAUUGACGAUUCGAUUGUUGCUCGUCCACAU